CACACUGGGGACAUUGGGGUCAAUGGGGACAGAUUGGGGACACACUGGGGUUGAUGGGGACACAUUGGGGUCAAUGGGGACAUUGGGGACACACUGGGGACAUUGGGGACACACUGGGGUCAUUAGGGACACAUUGGGGUCAUUGGGGAUGGAUUGGGGACACAGUGGGGUCACUGGGGCACAUUGGGGUCAAUGGGGACACAUUGGGGACACACUGGGGACAGAUUGGGGACGCAGUGGGGUUACUGGGGCACAUUGGGGUCACUGAGGACACAUUGGGGACACAUUGGGGACACACUGGGGUCACUGGGGUCAAUGGGGACAGAUUGGGGACACACUGGGGUUGAUGGGGACACAUUGGGGUCAAUGGGGACAUUGGGGACACACUGGGGUCAUUAGGGACACAUUGGGGACACAUUGGGGUCAUUGGGGACACACUGGGGACACACUGGGGUCACUGGGGCACACUGGGGUCAAUGGGGACACACUGGGGACACACUGGGGCCAAUGGGGACACAUUGGGGUCACUGAGGUCAAUGGGGACACAUUGGGGUCACUGAGGACACAUUUGGGACACUGGGGACACAAUGGGGACACACUGGGGUCACUGGGGCAUAUUGGGGUCAAUGGGGUCAUUGGGGACACACUGGGGACACUUUGGGGACAUUGGGGACACUGGGGACGCAGCGGUGUCUCACAGCCACGAAAUGGCAGAAGCGCGCAUCGCGGCGCUGCUUGGCCUUCAGCUGCUCCAGGGCGAAGGACUGACGGCUGCAGAAGCGAGCGGACAGCUUCUGGAACCAGCGGCCCUCGGCGCCGUCGAACUGGGGGAAACGUGGCGAGGACACGCUAAGGACACGCUAAGGACACGCUAAGGACACGCCAUUACAUGCUAAGGGUGUGAUAAGGAUGUGAUAAGGGUGUGACAAGUACAGCUUCUGGAACCAGCGGCCCUCGGCGCCGUCGAACUGGGGGAAACGUGGCAAGUACACGCUAAGGACACGCUAAGGACACGCUAAGGACACGCUAAGAACACGCCAUGACACGCUAAGGGCGUGAUAAGGGAGUGAUAAGGGAGUGAUAAGGACGUGACAAGUACAGCUUCUGGAACCAGCGGCCCUCGACGCCGUCGAACUGGGGGAAACGUGGCGAGGACACGCUAA
This 1163-nucleotide long non-coding RNA is filed under the name Chrysolophus pictus (golden pheasant). Its description in RNAcentral is "lncRNA (ENSCPIG00010014322.1)". The record is from RNAcentral. Lineage: Eukaryota; Metazoa; Chordata; Aves; Galliformes; Phasianidae.